This is a long non-coding RNA of Hemicordylus capensis (graceful crag lizard), 382 nucleotides long. RefSeq lists it as uncharacterized. The record is from RefSeq and is a predicted model, not a curated record. NCBI's taxonomy places the organism in Eukaryota, Metazoa, Chordata, Lepidosauria, Squamata, Cordylidae. The transcript has 3 exons.
AUUUAGAAAGGAGCAGGCUGGUAAUGAAUCGGUGUCUCUGAAGUGUGGGCUGCUUGAGGUCCUCUGGGGAGAGGCUCAAUCAAGAAGACACCUGGCUUGAGGAGGAAUAAAGAUAUGGGAAGAGAUCAUCAGACUACAUGGAAGGUGGUCCUUAGGCCGUUGGUCGCUUGAGUAAAAUCAUGUGCCUUAUGUUCAGGACCAGAUGUGGCAAACCCCUACUAAAGGAGGUAGAAGAAUGAAGACUGGUUUCUCCUUGAUUGUCCUCUGAUUGCAUCUUUCCAUCAUGGCACUGCAAACUCCUCCACCAAGGAGAAUACACUUCUUCAGCCAUUUUGCUUAUCUGUUAAUUAUUGAAUCUGAUCAGUAUAAUAAAUUUAGAUGA